UUGCAGAAUCCAGCAUUCUGUCGCUCACUUACCAGAAACAACACAGUGGCUGUUUACGGCUUCAUGGAUUUUAAUUCUUUCGUAUUUCGUAGCAUAUCUGGAGACUGUAGCCAUUUCCAAUGAUCGAUGAGGAACAAAGUGUUGGUUGGGAGUUGGCAAGAGUGGGUGUUGAUGCUUUAGGUGCUGCAAUGCUAGUCACCAUCAUACUCGGACCUUCCAAAUUCUAAUACAACUUUCAAUUUGUAAUCUCCUGGCUUCUUUGACACAUGACCAACUCUUCUAUAACUGUAUUCAAAUCUUUUCCACUCUUGUAUAGCUGUAUCAUGUUUGAUUCAUAUUGGCAGACAUUCUAACCAACACACUCACUUAUGAUGUUUUCCAGUUAAUUCA
Non-coding RNA from Salvia hispanica, 390 nucleotides. The record is from RefSeq and is a predicted model, not a curated record. NCBI's taxonomy places the organism in Eukaryota, Viridiplantae, Streptophyta, Magnoliopsida, Lamiales, Lamiaceae.